This 244-nucleotide long non-coding RNA is filed under the name Homo sapiens (human). RNAcentral's name for it is "HSALNT0047716". The record is from RNAcentral. Lineage: Eukaryota; Metazoa; Chordata; Mammalia; Primates; Hominidae.
UGGAUGAGCCAUGGUGGUGGCCCCUCCUGUUUUAUUCCAUUUUCUCAUCAAAAGGAUUUCCUACCAUCAAGCCAACAAGACCCAGAUGUAAUUUCACUGAUGAGCAAGACAUCUCUGCCAACUGAAUUCCUAUUGAUUAGCAUCUGAUUUUGUUUGUCAGCAAAAAGAAAAACGUAUUAUUUAAUGUCACGUUUGGUACAUAACCAGCGGGUUUAAGUGGUGGGAGGGAAGGGUGUGGAUGCAG